CGUGGCUAACCUACCCUUGGGACGGAAACACCCCCGGGAAACUGGGGCUAAUUUCCGAUAGGUGAAGACUCCUGGAAUGGAUUUUCGCCUAAAGGGCGUCUGGGGCAUGCUUUCAGGCGUCGCACAAGGAUGGGGCCGCGGCCGAUCAGGUUGUUGGUGAGGUAACGGCUCACCAAGCCUUUAACCGGUACGGGCCGUGGGAGCGGUAGCCCGGAGAUGGGCACUGAGACAAGGGCCCAGGCCCUACGGGGCGCAGCAGUCGCGAAAACUUCGCAAUAAGCGAAAGCUUGACGGGGCCAUCCCGAGUGCCAUCUGCUGAGGAUGGCUUUUACCCAGUAUAGAUAGCUGGGGGAAUAAGGAGAGGGCAAGUCUGGUGUCAGCCGCCGCGGUAAUACCAGCUCUCCGAGUUGUAGGGAUGUUUAUUGGGCCUAAAGCAUCCGUAGCCGGCUGGACAAGUCCCCUGUUAAAUCCAGCGACCAAUCGUUGGUCUGCGGGGGAUACUGUCCGGCUAGGGGGCGGGAGAGGCCGUCGGUAUUCCUGGGGUAGGGGGUGAAAUCCUAUAAUCCCAGGAGGACCACCAGUGGCGAAGGCUGUCGGCUAGAACGCGCCCGACGGUGAGGGAUGAAAGCUGGGGGAGCGAACCGGAUUAGAUACCCGGGUAGUCCAGCUGU
Molecule: ribosomal RNA, 671 nt
Filed under: uncultured archaeon
Lineage: Archaea
Description: bacterial SSU rRNA
Rfam family: Archaeal small subunit ribosomal RNA
Source: RNAcentral